Microcebus murinus (gray mouse lemur) is the source of this 1604-nucleotide non-coding RNA. The record is from RefSeq and is a predicted model, not a curated record. NCBI's taxonomy places the organism in Eukaryota, Metazoa, Chordata, Mammalia, Primates, Cheirogaleidae.
ACCCCAGAGGCUUCCGACACAGUUCCUGCAGGGGAACGUCCUCCUGGCAGGGAGGCCCCACGCCCCACGCCCCACGGAGCUGUGACAGAGUGCGUGAGAAUCGGGAAUGGGAAAUUUUAGUUUCAUGGCGUCAUGAGCAGAAGAGAUGCUGCACAAAGGGAGGAUCCACAUCCUGUGUGGGACGGAGCAGGGUGAGUGGACAGCAAGAAGACCCUGAGCUCCCUGGAUCCUGACAACACGGUGUGUGAGGUCAGACAGGCGUGGACCCACGGCUAGGGGUGGGAGUCGGCAAGAAGCAGCCCGCCACCUGCAGUGGCAUCUGAUUUUCAGAGCCAAAGACACAAGGUGGAAAAUGAAUUGCAAUGUCCUAGAUGCCAAAGUUUCUAGUUAUGAAUCCCUGUGCCAACCAGGAGAAAAAGAAAGCAGAAGCUACUGGAGAACAAUAGCCAAGAGACGACCUAGAUGGUCACUUCAUAAGAAAUGUAUGAGAUAUCAUCACCCCAAAGAGGAGAAGUCAUCAUCCCAAAUUAUUAAUGAAGAAAUUAAAAUUCAAAGGGUUUUUUUCUAACUUAUUCAUUUCGUAAAUUUUUUUAGCACAUGAUACUGUCAUAAGCUUUGAGCAUAGAGAGCUGAGCAAUACAGAUCUAUGAUUGCUUCUCUCAUGUAAAUAGCAUUCUAGCGAAGGAUUCAUUUAGUAAGUAAACACAAAAAGAAAUACAAUUAUUCUCAAUGGCAAUAUGUGUUAAAAAAACAAAAAACAAGCAAUAUAUGAUAGCAAGUAACUUUGGAAUAAUUGCAAGGAAAAACUUUUAAAGAGCUGACAUAUCACUGAGACCUGAAGAAUGACAAACCAUCUACCACUCAAACUAUGCAAGAAGAUUGUUAAUGGAAGCUGAAGAAGUGUAUGCAAAGGUUCUGUGACAUAAGAGAGGUUAGUACAUUCAGGAGAUAGACACUAAGGAGUCAUGAAGGUCAAACUCAGGUCCUUUCCAACUAUGCCUCCUAGCUUUAUCAUAUUUUUAUUUCACUUAUAGUUCACUCUGAACCAAAUGAUGUAUAAUUCAAAAAUACCCCAAAGGAGAGAUUACAAGAAAUCUUGCUUAUACUUGGAGUUCACCAGUGAUUACCACCAAGGGUCAUGUUAAUGAUCAAUUUCUGACCUGACUAGCUAGCAAAGAGGAUAAACCAAUUUUAAUGGAAAAUCACAAUCAGAUUUUGUAGUCAGAGGGCUACAGUUAAUGAGAUUGUCUAGAAUCCAGAAAAAUAAGAUAGUGUAGUAACCAAGAGCAUGACCCUUAAAAGUAGAGGCCAAGCUUUGAAUGCCACUUCUGCUAUUUGCCGGCAAUAUAAUCUUAGGAAAGUCACAGAGCCUCACUGAGCCUUAGUUUUAUUUUACACAAAAUAGACCUGUACUACUCUUAAGCAGGAUUGAAGUAGGGGUUAAAUGAGAGAAGAGACUUGGGAGGCUAAGGUGGUGGAAUAGAAGCAGCCUGCGUGGACGCUACUCCCAUGGCGAUGAGAGUAAGCAGUGAAUAGGCCGGGCGCGGUGGCUCACACUUAUAAUCCUAGCAGUCUGGGAGGCCAAGGUGGGAGGGUUGCUGAAG